GUAGGUAUAGCUCAGUGGUAGGGCACAUGCCUAGCAUGCAUGAUGUCCUAGGUUCGAUUCCCAGUACCUCCA
RNAcentral lists this transfer RNA (72 nucleotides) under Camelus bactrianus (Bactrian camel). It matches the Rfam family "tRNA". From Rfam's summary of the family: Transfer RNA (tRNA) molecules are approximately 80 nucleotides in length. The record is from Rfam by way of RNAcentral. Lineage: Eukaryota; Metazoa; Chordata; Mammalia; Artiodactyla; Camelidae. RNAcentral also lists the same sequence under 1 other name.